CUUUACUGUAGCUUGGUAUUGUGCCCGGGCUCUGAAUGCGCAGGAUAGGUGGGAGGCGUUGAGAUAUUCCUUGUGGGGAAUGUGGAGCCAACGGUGAGAUACCACUCUGGUGAGGCUAGAAUUCUAACCCGAUUCCGUGAACCGGCUCGGGAACAGUUUCAGGCGGGCAGUUUGACUGGGGCGGUCGCCUCCUAAAAGGUAACGGAGGCGCGCAAAGGUUCUCUCAGGCUGGUUGGAAAUCAGCCGUAGAGUGUAAAGGCAUAAGAGAGCUUGACUGCGAGACAAACACGUCGAGCAGGGUGGAAACACGGCCUUAGUGAUCCGACGGCGCUGCGUGGAAAGGCCGUCGCUAAACGGAUAAAAGUUA
This 367-nucleotide ribosomal RNA is filed under the name uncultured organism. RNAcentral's name for it is "bacterial LSU rRNA". It matches the Rfam family "Bacterial large subunit ribosomal RNA", at positions 2099 to 2465 of the family's 2925-position model. The record is from RNAcentral.